CACAAGCGGUGGAGCAUGUGGUUUAAUUCGAUGCAACGCGAAGAACCUUACCAGGCCUUGACAUCCUCGGAACUUCCAGAAAUGGAUUGGUGCCUUCGGGAACCGAGAGACAGGUGCUGCAUGGCUGUCGUCAGCUCGUGUCGUGAGAUGUUGGGUUAAGUCCCGCAACGAGCGCAACCCUUAUCAUUAGUUGCUACGCAAGGGCACUCUAAUGAGACUGCCGGUGACAAACCGGAGGAAGGUGGGGAUGACGUCAAGUCCUCAUGGCCCUUAUGAGCAGGGCUUCACACGUCAUACAAUGGUCGGUACAGAGGGUUGCCAACCCGCGAGGGGGGAGCCAAUCCCACAAAGCCGAUCGUAGUCCGGAUCGUAGUCUGCAACUCGACUACGUGAAGUCGGAAUCGCUAGUAAUCGCGGAUCAGCAUGUCGCGGUGAAUACGUUCCCGGGCCUU
This 452-nucleotide ribosomal RNA is filed under the name uncultured Tepidiphilus sp. RNAcentral's name for it is "bacterial SSU rRNA". It matches the Rfam family "Bacterial small subunit ribosomal RNA", at positions 924 to 1382 of the family's 1533-position model. Lineage: Bacteria; Pseudomonadati; Pseudomonadota; Hydrogenophilia; Hydrogenophilales; Hydrogenophilaceae. The record is from RNAcentral.